RNAcentral lists this ribosomal RNA (243 nucleotides) under uncultured Alphaproteobacteria bacterium. RNAcentral's name for it is "partial 16S small subunit ribosomal RNA". It matches the Rfam family "Bacterial small subunit ribosomal RNA", at positions 1106 to 1373 of the family's 1533-position model. The record is from RNAcentral. Lineage: Bacteria; Pseudomonadati; Pseudomonadota; Alphaproteobacteria.
CGUCCUUAGUUACCAGCAUUUAGUGGGUACCCUAAGGAGACUGCCGGUGAUAAGCCGGAGGAAGGUGUGGACGACGUCAAGUCAUCAUGGCCCUUACGGGUUGGGCUACACACGUGCUACAAUGGCAUCUACAGUGAGUUAAUCUCCAAAAGAUGUCUCAGUUCGGAUUGGGGUCUGCAACUCGACCCCAUGAAGUUGGAAUCGCUAGUAAUCGCGGAACAGCAUGCCGCGGUGAAUACGUUC